RNAcentral lists this small RNA (30 nucleotides) under Bombyx mori (domestic silkworm). RNAcentral's name for it is "ovarian small RNA-5399". The record is from RNAcentral. Lineage: Eukaryota; Metazoa; Arthropoda; Insecta; Lepidoptera; Bombycidae.
GCUCCGGGGGGGGCGCGAGCUCCGCGUUGU